RNAcentral lists this transfer RNA (72 nucleotides) under Trachurus trachurus (Atlantic horse mackerel). RNAcentral describes it as "tRNA-His". It matches the Rfam family "tRNA". Rfam says of the family: Transfer RNA (tRNA) molecules are approximately 80 nucleotides in length. Lineage: Eukaryota; Metazoa; Chordata; Actinopteri; Carangiformes; Carangidae. RNAcentral also lists the same sequence under 6 other names. The record is from RNAcentral.
GUAGAUGUAGUUUAAUUCUAAAAUGCUAGAUUGUGAUUCUAGAGACUGGAGGUUAAAUCCCUCUCAUCCACC